CUUCGAUUGGCUCUUAGCUGGAGAGUUGAGCCGCAUUUAAUUCGAGAGAUUGCAUUUAUCGAAUGCGAUUUACAUGUGUUCGCUUUCUGUGUAUUCUUUGGUGUUUCUCUUGCAGGCGCGGCCAACGCAGGCUCUUCGUAAGCGUCCACUGCAGUGCGGUCUUCCCUGAAGGAAAACAGCUGUGUGUUUGACGGCACACUGCUUUGGCGGAUACGAAAAGUGAAGGAAGUCGGUGUACAGCGGCUUCAAGUUCACUUCCACGUUCCGUGCACGUGUGCCCUAGCUGCGUGAGUGCUGCGUCUACGUCUCGCAAACCGCAGUGGGUGUUUUUUCUGCCGAAGCCACUUUCUGGGCAUGCAUGUUUCUCGAGUAUUCGUGUUGGGUGAAUCCGUUUUGUUGGCUCUUUGCCGGGCAGCACGAUCCUGUGGAUGUGUCGAUGAGCCGACGCGCCUCAGGGAGGAUGCAAAUACGUGGAUCAUUUGCUUUCUCGUGUACAAUAACAUCAUUUCCGCAUCGUUGCGCCUACGGCUCACUUCCGGUCGAUGAGACGUGCCCCUGUGUCUCUCAUGCGUUGGUCUUUCUUCCGCCGAGGCGACCUCGAGUGCCUUUGUACAAUUACACCACCACACCUUUUUUCCACCAGUCGUUACCCGUGCAUGUUGUCGCGAUCUGUCUCUCCGCGUCAUUUUCAUGAAGUGGCCUGGUGGCCUGCGAAAGGAGGAAAUGAAAAAAGGAGUGAAGGUUUCACCGCUGCGUUUCCAGUGUGUAUGAAGCUUUUUUCCUUAUCUUCAACGUCCUCUAGUGGUUCCCCUGUUUGUCAGUUAGUGUUGUUUGCGGUUCUGUAUAUUCACAUUUCUUGGCUGGAAAAAUCGCCAUCCACCAUUUCCGAGGGCAUGUUCCCACUUCAUGCCCACCUCGACAUUUGCCUCGAAUGAGGCCGUUCGUUUCCUUUCUGCCUACCGCAUUCUUCCGUCAUCUGGCAUCCGUUCACGCCACCAAAACAUUCCGUUCCGUGUUGCCGCAUUCCACUGAAUUCGAUUUCGCGCGAGAGCCUUUGUCGCAUGCACUCCGACCCAGCCCCGCGCUGCAGCUGCUACAUAGCUGCUGCCGCCCGGAUGACAAUGAAACAAGCGA
Molecule: long non-coding RNA, 1134 nt
Filed under: Toxoplasma gondii VEG
Lineage: Eukaryota; Apicomplexa; Conoidasida; Eucoccidiorida; Sarcocystidae
Source: RNAcentral